RNAcentral lists this ribosomal RNA (481 nucleotides) under uncultured bacterium. RNAcentral's name for it is "bacterial SSU rRNA". It matches the Rfam family "Bacterial small subunit ribosomal RNA", at positions 31 to 507 of the family's 1533-position model. The record is from RNAcentral.
GAGAACGCUGGCGGCGUGCCUAACACAUGCAAGUCGAGCGGAGUCGAUCGACGGAAGCCUUCGGGCGGAGGAUGGUUGACUUAGCGGCGGAUGGGUGAGUAACGCGUGGGCAACCUGCCCCGAAGACCGGGAUAACAGCCCGAAAGGGCUGCUAAUACCGGAUGUGGUCAAGGAUCCGCAUGGAUUUUGAUUAAAGGGGAAACCCGUUUCGAGAUGGGCCCGCGUCCUAUCAGCUAGUUGGUGAGGUAAAAGCUCACCAAGGCGACGACGGGUAGCCGGCCUGAGAGGGUGACCGGCCACACUGGAACUGAGACACGGUCCAGACUCCUACGGGGGGCAGCAGUGGGGAAUCUUCCACAAUGGGCGAAAGCCUGAUGGAGCGACGCCGCGUGAGCGAAGAAGGCCUUCGGGUUGUAAAGCUCUGUCUGGAGGGACGAAGGAAGUGACGGUACCUCCGGAGGAAGCCACGGCUAACUACGUG